AUGCAGACACUCCAUUUUUCCGACAAGACACACAGCAAGAUAUUCCACAUACCUUCCCUUUGCCUCGCACUUGUGCUGCUGAUCUGCCUGGUCUCUCCGGGCAGUUCGUGCACGGAGACGGAGAAGGGCUCCCUUCUACAGUUCCUCGCCGGGCUCUCACAAGACGGUGGCCUCCCUGCGACAUGGCGGAAUGGCACGGAUUGCUGCAAGUGGGAAGGGAUCACCUGCAGGCAAGAUGGGACGGUCACCGCUGUCUUCCUGCCUUCGAAGGGCCUCCAGGGGCACAUCUCACAGUCCCUUGGGGUCCUCACCGGGCUGCAGUACCUUAAUCUCUCCCACAACUCGCUGUCCGGUGGACUGCCACCGGAGUUGAUGUCGUCCAGCAGCAUUACUAUCCUUGAUGUCAGCUUUAACCAGCUCAAUGGAACGCUCCAGGAGCUGCCAUCUUCAACGCCUGCCCAGCCUCUACAGGUACUGAACAUCUCCAGCAACUCAUUUACAGGACAGUUUCCAUCCACCACAUGGAAAGCAAUGGCAAAUUUGAUCGCACUCAAUGCCAGUAAGAACAGAUUUACUGGGCAGAUACCAACUCAUUUCUGUAACAGCUCGCCGUCCUUCACUGUGCUUGAACUGUCUUUCAACAAAUUCAGUGGCAGCAUCCCCCCAAGUCUUGGUAAUUGCUCCAAGCUGAGAGAGCUCAGGGCUGGAUACAACAACCUCAGUGGAGCUAUUGAUGGUACACACAUAACCAACCUCAGAAAUCUUGUAGUCCUUCAUCUUGGAUGGAACAACUUCAGUGGCAAGAUUCCAGUUUCUAUAGGACAGCUCAAGAAAUUGGAGGAGCUCCAUUUGGCUUACAACAACAUGUCAGGGGAACUGCCAUCUGCUCUGAGCAACUGCACAAAUCUCAUAACAAUUGACCUCAAGAGCAAUCACUUCAGUGGAAAACUUACCAAGGUCAAUUUCUCCAACCUGCCCAAUCUAAGAAUUUUAGACCUCUGGUUAAACAACUUCACCGGUGAAGUUCCAGAAAGCAUAUACUCGUGCAGUAAUCUGAUUGCACUGCGGCUAUCUAGCAACAACUUACACGGACAGCUCUCAUCGAGAAUAGGUAAUCUGAAGUACCUCUCCUUCUUGUCACUCGGUAAAAACAAUUUCACAAACAUUACAAAUGCACUUCAGAUCCUUAAGAGCAGCAAGAACCUGACAACACUGCUUAUGGGGCACAACUUUAGGGGAGAGAUACUCUCACAGGAUGAAACAAUUGAUGGUUUUGGAAGUCUUCAGGUUCUCGAUAUACAAGGUUGCAAUUUUUCUGGGAGAAUACCUGUGUGGAUAUCAAGGGCUGUAAACUUGCAGAUGCUAUUUUUAUGUGGCAAUCGACUCACUGGGUCAAUACCAGGCUGGAUCAGCUCUCUAAGUCAUCUCUUCUAUAUGGAUGUGUCAAGCAACAGUCUUACAGGAGAAAUCCCAUUAACCUUAACCGAGAUGCCAGUGCUAAAAUCAACUGAUAACGCAACUCAUUUGGACCCAACGGUCUUUGAGCUGCCUGUUUAUAAUGGUCCAGCACUUCAAUACCGUGUGGUUACAUCUUUCCCAGCAGUGUUGAAUCUAAGCAAUAACAAUUUCACAGGUGUGAUUCCCACACAGAUUGGUCAGCUGAAAGUGCUUGCUGUACUUGACUUCAGCUUCAACAAGUUAUCCGGACAGAUCCCACAAUCGGUCUGCAACCUCGCAAACUUGCAGGUACUAGACUUGUCCAGCAACAAUCUCACAGGUGCUAUUCCAGCUGCAUUGAACACCCUGCACUUCCUUUCAGCAUUCAGUAUUUCAAACAAUGACCUAGAAGGGCCUAUUCCAUCUGGAGGCCAGUUUGAUACAUUUCAGAAUUCUAGUUUCAGUGGGAACCCAAAGCUGUGUGUCUCUAUGCUAACCCACAAAUGUGAUUCAGCUUCGAUACCUCCACCAUCCACAAAAGAGACCACAAAACCACGAUAUAAGAAGUCUGUUUUUGUAAUUGCAUUUGGUGUGUUCUUUGGAGGCAUCGCUGUUCUUUUGUUGCUGGGGCGGCUCAUUGUAUUUAUCAGGAUAAAUGGCAUUAGAAUAAGAAAUAGAAGGGAGAAUAAUGGAGAUAUUGAAGCAACUUCGUUCUACUCCAGUUCAGAGCAAACAUUAGUGGUGAUGCGGAUGCCGCAAGGGAAGACAGAAGGAACCAAGCUCAAAUUCGCUGACAUUUUGAAAGCCACAAACAACUUUGACAAGGAGAAUAUCAUUGGAUGCGGAGGUUAUGGAUUAGUCUACAAGGCAGAGCUACCUGAUGGAUCCAAGCUGGCAAUAAAAAAGCUCAACAGUGAAAUGUGUCUGAUGGAAAGGGAGUUCAGUGCAGAGGUUGAUGCACUCUCCAUGGCACAACAUGAUAAUCUUGUACCACUGUGGGGUUAUUGCAUCCAGGGAAACUCGAGGUUCCUUGUAUAUUCCUACAUGGAGAAUGGUAGCCUGGAUGAUUGGCUUCAUAACAGGUAUGAUGAUGCCAGCUCAUUUCUUGACUGGCCGACUCGGCUAAAGAUCGCAAAAGGGGCAAGCCUGGGCCUUUCUUAUAUCCAUGACGUCUGCAAGCCUCAGAUUGUCCACCGUGACAUCAAAUCCAGUAACAUCCUACUGGACAAAGAAUUUAAAGCUUAUGUUGCAGAUUUCGGGCUAGCCAGAUUGAUCCUUCCCGACAAAACUCAUGUUACAACUGAGUUGGUCGGCACUAUGGGUUAUAUCCCUCCCGAGUACGGGCAAGCAUGGGUUGCUACCUUGAGAGGUGAUAUGUACAGUUUUGGAGUAGUCUUGCUUGAGCUGCUCACCGGAAAGAGACCUGUUACAGUCCUGUCUACAUCAAAAGAACUUGUCCCAUGGGUUCUACAGAUGAGGUCCGAGUGUAAGCAGACUGAAGUCCUGGAUCCAACACUUCGAGGAAGAGGCUAUGAAGAGCAAAUGCUGGAAGUUCUUGAAACCGCUUGCAAGUGUGUUGAUAACAAUCAAUUCAGAAGGCCAGCUAUCACAGAAGUAGUCUCCUCCCUGUCCAGUAUAGAAGCUGCCCCAUAG
Molecule: ribosomal RNA, 3090 nt
Filed under: Triticum aestivum (bread wheat)
Lineage: Eukaryota; Viridiplantae; Streptophyta; Magnoliopsida; Poales; Poaceae
Description: partial small subunit ribosomal RNA
Source: RNAcentral